RNAcentral lists this ribosomal RNA (1051 nucleotides) under fungal sp. ARIZ AZ1018. RNAcentral's name for it is "eukaryotic LSU rRNA". The stretch from base 452 to 1051 matches the Rfam family "Eukaryotic large subunit ribosomal RNA", at positions 1 to 605 of the family's 3401-position model. Lineage: Eukaryota; Fungi. The record is from RNAcentral.
GAUCAUUACCGUGGGGCUUCGGCCCCAUUGAGAUAGCACCCUUUGUUUAUGAGUACCCUUGUUUCCUCGGCGGGCUUGCCCGCCAUGAGGACAUCAAAAACCCUUUGUAGUAGCAGUAACUUCAGUUAAUAAUAAAUAUUAAAACUUUCAACAACGGAUCUCUUGGUUCUGGCAUCGAUGAAGAACGCAGCGAAAUGCGAUAAGUAGUGUGAAUUGCAGAAUUCAGUGAAUCAUCGAAUCUUUGAACGCACAUUGCGCCCUUCGGUAUUCCGUUGGGCAUGCCUGUUCGAGCGUCAUUUAAACCUUCAAGCUAUGCUUGGUGUUGGGUGUUUGUUCCGCCUCAGUGCGUGGACUCGCCUCAAAUUCAUUGGCAGCCGGUAUGUUGGCUUCGUGCGCAGCACAUUGCAAGCGACUUCAGCAGACCCCCUUCCAUAAGCCCUUUUUUUUACUUUGACCUCGGAUCAGGUAGGGAUACCCGCUGAACUUAAGCAUAUCAAUAAGCGGAGGAAAAGAAACCAACAGGGAUUGCCCCAGUAACGGCGAGUGAAGCGGCAAUAGCUCAAAUUUGAAAUCUGGCCCUUUCAGGGUCCGAGUUGUAAUUUGCAGAGGGCGCUUUGGUGUCGGCAGCAGCCUAAGUUCCUUGGAACAGGUCAUCAUAGAGGGUGAGAAUCCCGUAUGUGGCUGCUUGUCUUCACCGUGUAAAGCCCCUUCGAUGAGUCGAGUUGUUUGGGAAUGCAGCUCUAAAUGGGAGGUAAAUUUCUUCUAAAGCUAAAUAUUGGCCAGAGACCGAUAGCGCACAAGUAGAGUGAUCGAAAGAUGAAAAGCACUUUGGAAAGAGAGUCAAAAAGCACGUGAAAUUGUUGAAAGGGAAGCGCUUGCAGCCAGACGUGCCCGUAGUUGCUCAUCUGGGGUUUUCCCCAGUGCACUCUUCUAUGGGCAGGCCAGCAUCAGUUCGGGCGGUUGGAGAAAGACCUGUGUCACGUAGCUCUCUUCGGGGAGUGUUAUAGGGCAGGUGGAAUGCAACCAGCCUGAACUGAGGUCCGCGCAUCUG